This 440-nucleotide ribosomal RNA is filed under the name uncultured bacterium. RNAcentral's name for it is "partial 16S ribosomal RNA". It matches the Rfam family "Bacterial small subunit ribosomal RNA", at positions 338 to 795 of the family's 1533-position model. The record is from RNAcentral.
CCUACGGGUGGCAGCAGUGGGGGAUAUUGCACAAUGGGGGAAACCCUGAUGCAGCGACGCCGCGUGAGUGAAGAAGUAUUUCGGUAUGUAAAGCUCUAUCAGCAGGGAAGAAAAUGACAGUACCUGACCACGAAGCCCCGGCUAACUACGUGCCAGCAGCCGCGGUAAUACGUCGGGGGCAAGCGUUAUCCGGAUGUACUGGGUGUAAAGGGAGCGUAGGUGGGUAUGUAAGUCUGGAGUGCAAGCCCGGGGGCCAACCCCGGGACUGCUUUGGAAACUGUGGAACUGGAGUACAGGAGGGGCAGGCGGAAUGCCUGGUGUAGCGGUGAAAUGCGUAGAUAUCAGGAGGAACACCGGCGGCGAAGGCGGCCUACUGGACUGAAACUGACGUUGAGGCUCGAAAGCGUGGGGAGCAAACAGGAUUAGAUACCCCUGUAGUC